RNAcentral lists this non-coding RNA (80 nucleotides) under uncultured Prevotella sp. Lineage: Bacteria; Pseudomonadati; Bacteroidota; Bacteroidia; Bacteroidales; Prevotellaceae. The record is from RNAcentral.
UUUAAGGGGUGCCCACUUUUUGGUGGUGCUGAGAUUAAACCCUCGACCUGAUCUGGGUAAUGCCAGCGUAGGAAAGACGA